This 323-nucleotide ribosomal RNA is filed under the name uncultured eukaryote. Its description in RNAcentral is "partial 18S ribosomal RNA". It matches the Rfam family "Eukaryotic small subunit ribosomal RNA", at positions 1470 to 1796 of the family's 1831-position model. The record is from RNAcentral.
CCCUUAGAUGUCCUGGGCUGCACGCGCGCUACACUGACACACUCAGCGAGUUUUCCUGGCUCGAGAGAGUUGGGUAAUCUGUUGAAAGUGUGUCGUGAUGGGGAUAGAUUAUUGCAAUUAUUAAUCUUCAACGAGGAAUUCCUAGUAAGUGCAAGUCAUCAGCUUGCGCUGAUUACGUCCCUGCCCUUUGUACACACCGCCCGUCGCUCCUACCGAUUGAGUGGUCCGGUGAAUAAUUCGGAUUGCGGCAUUGGAGCUUCUGCUACUAGUGCUGUGAGAAGUUUAGUGAACCUUAUCACUUAGAGGAAGGAGAANUCGUANCA